UACGGAGGAUCCGAGCGUUAUCCGGAUUUAUUGGGUUUAAAGGGUGCGCAGGCGGGAUGUUAAGUCGGCGGUGAAAUUUUGCAGCUCAACUGUAAAAGUGCCUUCGAUACUGGCUUUCUUGAGUGUGGAUGAAGUAGGCGGAAUUUGUGGUGUAGCGGUGAAAUGCUUAGAUAUCACGAGGAACUCCGAUUGCGCAGGCAGCUUACUAAACCAUAACUGACGCUCAGGCACGAAGGCGUGGGGAUCAAACAGGAUUAGAUACCCG
This 265-nucleotide ribosomal RNA is filed under the name uncultured prokaryote. RNAcentral's name for it is "partial 16S ribosomal RNA". It matches the Rfam family "Bacterial small subunit ribosomal RNA", at positions 524 to 788 of the family's 1533-position model. The record is from RNAcentral.